GGGAAACUGCCUGAUGGAGGGGGAUAACUACUGGAAACGGUAGCUAAUACCGCAUAACGUCGCAAGACCAAAGAGGGGGACCUUCGGGCCUCUUGCCAUCGGAUGUGCCCAGAUGGGAUUAGCUAGUAGGUGGGGUAACGGCUCACCUAGGCGACGAUCCCUAGCUGGUCUGAGAGGAUGACCAGCCACACUGGAACUGAGACACGGUCCAGACUCCUACGGGAGGCAGCAGUGGGGAAUAUUGCACAAUGGGCGCAAGCCUGAUGCAGCCAUGCCGCGUGUAUGAAGAAGGCCUUCGGGUUGUAAAGUACUUUCAGCGGGGAGGAAGGCGAUAAGGUUAAUAACCUUGUCGAUUGACGUUACCCGCAGAAGAAGCACCGGCUAACUCCGUGCCAGCAGCCGCGGUAAUACGGAGGGUGCAAGCGUUAAUCGGAAUUACUGGGCGUAAAGCGCACGCAGGCGGUCUGUCAAGUCGGAUGUGAAAUCCCCGGGCUCAACCUGGGAACUGCAUUCGAAACUGGCAGGCUAGAGUCUUGUAGAGGGGGGUAGAAUUCCAGGUGUAGCGGUGAAAUGCGUAAAGAUCUGGAGGAAUACCGGUGGCGAAGGCGGCCCCCUGGACAAAGACUGACGCUCAGGUGCGAAAGCGUGGGGGAGCAAACAGGAUUAGAUACCCUGGUUAGUCCACGCCGUUAAACGAUG
This 699-nucleotide ribosomal RNA is filed under the name Enterobacteriaceae bacterium. RNAcentral describes it as "bacterial SSU rRNA". It matches the Rfam family "Bacterial small subunit ribosomal RNA", at positions 120 to 811 of the family's 1533-position model. Lineage: Bacteria; Pseudomonadati; Pseudomonadota; Gammaproteobacteria; Enterobacterales; Enterobacteriaceae. The record is from RNAcentral.